RNAcentral lists this ribosomal RNA (253 nucleotides) under uncultured bacterium. Its description in RNAcentral is "partial 16S ribosomal RNA". It matches the Rfam family "Bacterial small subunit ribosomal RNA", at positions 524 to 776 of the family's 1533-position model. The record is from RNAcentral.
GACGUAGGGCGCGAGCGUUGUCCGGAUUUAUUGGGCGUAAAGAGCUCGUAGGCGGCUUGUUGCGUCGACCGUGAAAACCCGGGGCUCAACUUCGGGCUUGCGGUCGAUACGGGCGGGCUAGAGUUCGGUAGGGGAGACUGGAAUUCCUGGUGUAGUGGUGAAAUGCGCAGAUAUCAGGAGGAACACCGGUGGCGAAGGCGGGUCUCUGGGCCGAUACUGACGCUGAGGAGCGAAAGCGUGGGGAGCGAACAGG